AGUGGCGAACGGGUGAGUAAUGCAUCGGAACGUGCCCAGUCGUGGGGGAUAACGCAGCGAAAGUUGUGCUAAUACCGCAUACGAUCUAUGGAUGAAAGCGGGGGACCUUCGGGCCUCGCGCGAUUGGAGCGGCCGAUGUUAGACUAGGUAGUUGGUGGGGUAAAGGCUCACCAAGCCAACGAUCUAUAGCUGGUCUGAGAGGACGACCAGCCACACUGGAACUGAGACACGGUCCAGACUCCUACGGGAGGCAGCAGUGGGGAAUUUUGGACAAUGGGCGAAAGCCUGAUCCAGCAAUACCGCGUGCAGGAAGAAGGCCCUCGGGUUGUAAACUGCUUUUGUACGGAACGAAACGGCGCGCUCUAAUAAAGUGCGCUAAUGACGGUACCGUAAGAAUAAGCACCGGCUAACUACGUGCCAGCAGCCGCGGUAAUACGUAGGGUGCGAGCGUUAAUCGGAAUUACUGGGCGUAAAGCGUGCGCAGGCGGUUUUGUAAGACAGGCGUGAAAUCCCCGGGCUCAACCUGGGAAUUGCGCUUGUGACUGCAAGGCUAGAGUACGGUAGAGGGGGGUAGAAUUCCGCGUGUAGCAGUGAAAUGCGUAGAUAUGCAGAGGAACACCGAUGGCGAAGGCAGCCCCCUGGACCUGUACUGACGCUCAUGCACGAAAGCGUGGGGAGCAAACAGGAUUAGAUACCCUGGUAG
This 703-nucleotide ribosomal RNA is filed under the name uncultured Hydrogenophaga sp. Its description in RNAcentral is "bacterial SSU rRNA". It matches the Rfam family "Bacterial small subunit ribosomal RNA", at positions 94 to 793 of the family's 1533-position model. Lineage: Bacteria; Pseudomonadati; Pseudomonadota; Betaproteobacteria; Burkholderiales; Comamonadaceae. The record is from RNAcentral.